RNAcentral lists this ribosomal RNA (117 nucleotides) under Actinomycetes bacterium. The record is from RNAcentral. Lineage: Bacteria; Bacillati; Actinomycetota; Actinomycetes.
UUAAGCCACCAUAGCGAAGGGGGUACACCCGUUCCCAUUCCGAACACGGAAGUUAAGUCCUUCAGCGCCGAUGGUACUGCACGGGCGACUGUGUGGGAGAGUAGGACGUGGCUUAGU